GAAGCAGGUCCCAAGGGUUUGGCUGUUCGCCAAUUAAAGCGGUACGUGAGCUGGGUUUAAAACGUCGUGAGACAGUUUGGUCCCUAUCUACCGCGGGCGCAGGAGAUUUGAGAGAAUCUGUCCCUAGUACGAGAGGACCGGGAUGGACGAACCUCCGGUGAUCCAGUUAUCACGCCAGUGGUAUCGCUGGGUAGCUGCGUUCGGAUGGGAUAACCGCUGAAAGCAUCUAAGUGGGAAGCCCACCUCAAGAUUAGAUCUCCCGUGGCGCAAGCCCCUAAAGCCCCCUUGGAGAAGACAAGGUUGAUAGGUCGGAGGUGUAAGGCUGGCAACAGCCUAAGCUGACCGAUACUAAUUGGGCGUGAGGCUUGACCAU
Molecule: ribosomal RNA, 373 nt
Filed under: Deltaproteobacteria bacterium
Lineage: Bacteria; Pseudomonadati; Myxococcota; Myxococcia
Description: partial 23S ribosomal RNA
Rfam family: Bacterial large subunit ribosomal RNA
Source: RNAcentral